GGGGGGCGGCCGGAUCCUGGGCUGUGUCCCGGCGCCCUGUGCUCCCGGCCUGCUCUGUUGGAUUCGCGCUCCCGGCCCGCAGCCCCCC
Non-coding RNA from Canis lupus familiaris (dog), 88 nucleotides. NCBI's taxonomy places the organism in Eukaryota, Metazoa, Chordata, Mammalia, Carnivora, Canidae. The record is from Rfam.